ACGAGUGGUGAAAGCGUUAUUCGGAAUCAUUGGGCGUACAGAGAGUGUAGGUGGUAUGUUAAGUCUGAUGUUAAAGACUCUAGCCUAAAUGGAGAAAGGCAAUGGAAACUGGUGUACUAGAGGGUGGAAGAGAGAAGUGGAAUUCUCGGUGUAGCGGUAAAAUGCGUAGAGAUCGAGAGGAACACCGAUGGCGAAGGCAGCUUCUUGGUCCAUACCUGACACUGAGGCGCGAAAGCGUAGGGAACAAACAG
RNAcentral lists this ribosomal RNA (251 nucleotides) under uncultured prokaryote. RNAcentral's name for it is "partial 16S rRNA". It matches the Rfam family "Bacterial small subunit ribosomal RNA", at positions 525 to 775 of the family's 1533-position model. The record is from RNAcentral.